CGCUGAAAGCAUCUAAGCGGGAAACUUGCCUCAAGAUGAGAUCUCACUGGGAACUUGAUUCCCCUGAAGGGCCGUCGAAGACUACGACGUUGAUAGGCUGGGUGUGUAAGCGUUGUGAGGCGUUGAGCUAACCAGUACUAAUUGCCCGUGAGGCUUGACCAUAUAACACCCAAACA
This 176-nucleotide ribosomal RNA is filed under the name Pseudomonas aeruginosa. RNAcentral describes it as "partial 23S ribosomal RNA". It matches the Rfam family "Bacterial large subunit ribosomal RNA", at positions 2769 to 2925 of the family's 2925-position model. The record is from RNAcentral. Lineage: Bacteria; Pseudomonadati; Pseudomonadota; Gammaproteobacteria; Pseudomonadales; Pseudomonadaceae.